GAUGAACGCUGGCGGCGUGCCUAAUACAUGCAAGUCGAGCGAACAGAUGAGGAGCUUGCUCCUCUGACGUUAGCGGCGGACGGGUGAGUAACACGUGGAUAACCUACCUAUAAGACUGGGAUAACUUCGGGAAACCGGAGCUAAUACCGGAUAAUAUAUUGAACCGCAUGGUUCAAUAGUGAAAGACGGUUUUGCUGUCACUUAUAGAUGGAUCCGCGCCGCAUUAGCUAGUUGGUAAGGUAACGGCUUACCAAGGCAACGAUGCGUAGCCGACCUGAGAGGGUGAUCGGCCACACUGGAACUGAGACACGGUCCCGACUCCUACGGGAGGCAGCAGUAGGGAAUCUUCCGCAAUGGGCGAAAGCCUGACGGAGCCACGCCGCGUGAGUGAUGAAGGUCUUCGGAUCGUAAAACUCUGUUAUUAGGGAAGAACAAAUGUGUAAGUAACUAUGCACGUCUUGACGGUAACUAAUCAGAAAGCCACGGCUAACUACGUG
Molecule: ribosomal RNA, 497 nt
Filed under: uncultured bacterium
Lineage: Bacteria
Description: partial 16S ribosomal RNA
Rfam family: Bacterial small subunit ribosomal RNA
Source: RNAcentral